RNAcentral lists this ribosomal RNA (584 nucleotides) under Streptococcus mutans. Its description in RNAcentral is "bacterial SSU rRNA". It matches the Rfam family "Bacterial small subunit ribosomal RNA", at positions 378 to 953 of the family's 1533-position model. The record is from RNAcentral. Lineage: Bacteria; Bacillati; Bacillota; Bacilli; Lactobacillales; Streptococcaceae.
AAAGUCUGACCGAGCAACGCCGCGUGAGUGAAGAAGGUUUUCGGAUCGUAAAGCUCUGUUGUAAGUCAAGAACGUGUGUGAGAGUGGAAAGUUCACACAGUGACGGUGGCUUACCAGAAAGGGACGGCUAACUACGUGCCAGCAGCCGCGGUAAUACGUAGGUCCCGAGCGUUGUCCGGAUUUAUUGGGCGUAAAGGGAGCGCAGGCGGUCAGGUAAGUCUGGAGUAAAAGGCUAUGGCUCAACCAUAGUGUGCUCUGGAAACUGUCUGACUUGAGUGCAGAAGGGGAGAGUGGAAUUCCAUGUGUAGCGGUGAAAUGCGUAGAUAUAUGGAGGAACACCAGUGGCGAAAGCGGCUCUCUGGCCUGUCACUGACGCUGAGGCUCGAAAGCGUGGGUAGCGAACAGGAUUAGAUACCCUGGUAGUCCACGCCGUAAACGAUGAGUGCUAGGUGUUAGGCCCUUUCCGGGGCUUAGUGCCGGAGCUAACGCAAUAAGCACUCCGCCUGGGGAGUACGACCGCAAGGUUGAAACUCAAAGGAAUUGACGGGGGCCCGCACAAGCGGUGGAGCAUGUGGUUUAAAUUC